Molecule: ribosomal RNA, 466 nt
Filed under: uncultured bacterium
Lineage: Bacteria
Description: partial 16S ribosomal RNA
Rfam family: Bacterial small subunit ribosomal RNA
Source: RNAcentral
GACGAACGCUGGCGGCGUGCUUAACACAUGCAAGUCGAACGGAAAGGCCCUGCUUUUGUGGGGUGCUCGAGUGGCGAACGGGUGAGUAACACGUGAGUAACCUGCCCUUGACUUUGGGAUAACUUCAGGAAACUGGGGCUAAUACCGGAUAGGAGCUCCUGCUGCAUGGUGGGGGUUGGAAAGUUUCGGCGGUUGGGGAUGGACUCGCGGCUUAUCAGCUUGUUGGUGGGGUAGUGGCUUACCAAGGCUUUGACGGGUAGCCGGCCUGAGAGGGUGACCGGCCACAUUGGGACUGAGAUACGGCGCAGACUCCUACGGGAGGCAGCAGUGGGGAAUAUUGCACAAUGGGCGGAAGCCUGAUGCAGCAACGCCGCGUGCGGGAUGACGGCCUUCGGGUUGUAAACCGCUUUCGCGUGUGACGAAGCGUGAGUGACGGUAAUGGGUAAAGAGGCACCGGCUAACUACG